RNAcentral lists this ribosomal RNA (253 nucleotides) under uncultured bacterium. RNAcentral describes it as "partial 16S ribosomal RNA". It matches the Rfam family "Bacterial small subunit ribosomal RNA", at positions 524 to 776 of the family's 1533-position model. The record is from RNAcentral.
UACGUAGGGUGCAAGCGUUAAUCGGAAUUACUUGGCGUAAAGCGUGCGCAGGCGGCUUUGCAAGACAGAUGUGAAAUCCCCGGGCUUAACCUGGGAACUGCAUUUGUGACUGCAUGGCUAGAGUGCGGCAGAGGGGGAUGGAAUUCCGCGUGUAGCAGUGAAAUGCGUAGAUAUGCGGAGGAACACCGAUGGCGAAGGCAGCCCCCUGGGCUAGCACUGACGCUCAGGCACGAAAGCGUGGGGAGCAAACAGG